AUUGAACGCUGGCGGAAUGCUUUACACAUGCAAGUCGAACGGCAGCACGGACUUCGGUCUGGUGGCGAGUGGCGAACGGGUGAGUAGUGUAUCGGAACGUGCCCAGUCGUGGGGGAUAACGUAGUGAAAAUUACGCUAAUACCGCAUACGAUCUAUGGAUGAAAGCGGGGGAUCGCAAGACCUCGCGCGAUUGGAGCGGCCGAUAUCAGAUUAGGUAGUUGGUGGGUAAAGGCCCACCAAGCCAACGAUCUGUAGCUGGUCUGAGAGGACGACCAGCCACACUGGAACUGAGACACGGUCCAGACUCCUACGGGAGGCAGCAGUGGGGAAUUUUGGACAAUGGGCGAAAGCCUGAUCCAGCCAUUCCGCGUGCAGGAUGAAGGCCCUCGGGUUGUAAACUGCUUUUGUACAGAACGAAAAGGUUUCUACUAAUACUAGGAGCUCAUGACGGUACUGUAAGAAUAAGCACCGGCUAACUACGUGCCAGCCGCCGCUGUAA
RNAcentral lists this ribosomal RNA (499 nucleotides) under uncultured bacterium. RNAcentral describes it as "partial 16S ribosomal RNA". It matches the Rfam family "Bacterial small subunit ribosomal RNA", at positions 30 to 523 of the family's 1533-position model. The record is from RNAcentral.